This 472-nucleotide ribosomal RNA is filed under the name uncultured bacterium. Its description in RNAcentral is "partial 16S ribosomal RNA". It matches the Rfam family "Bacterial small subunit ribosomal RNA", at positions 28 to 507 of the family's 1533-position model. The record is from RNAcentral.
GACGAACGCUGGCGGCGUGCUUAACACAUGCAAGUCGAACGCUGAAGCUUGGUGCUUGCACUGGGUGGGUGAGUGGCGCACGGGUGAGUAAUACGUGAGUAACCUGCCCUUGACUCUGGGAUAAGCCUGGGAAACUGGGUCUAAUACUGGAUACGACAUGUCACCGCAUGGUGGUGUGUGGAAAGGGGUUUACUGGUUUUGGAUGGGCUCACGGCCUAUCAGCUUGUUGGUGGGGUAAUGGCUCACCAAGGCGACGACGGGUAGCCGGCCUGAGAGGGUGACCGGCCACACUGGGACUGAGACACGGCCCAGACUCCUACGGGAGGCAGCAGUGGGGAAUAUUGCACAAUGGGCGGAAGCCUGAUGCAGCGACGCCGCGUGAGGGAUGACGGCCUUCGGGUUGUAAACCUCUUUCAGCACGGAAGAAGCGAAAGUGACGGUACGUGCAGAAGAAGCGCCGGCUAACUACGUG